CAGCAGCCACGGUAAUACGAAGGGGGCUAGCGUUGUUCGGAAUUACUGGGCGUAAAGCGCGUGUAGGCGGGCUUUUAAGUCAGGGGUGAAAUGCCAAGGCUCAACCUUGGAACUGCCUUUGAUACUGGAAGUCUUGAGUCCGGGAGAGGUGAGUGGAACUGCGAGUGUAGAGGUGGAAUUCGUAGAUAUUCGCAAGAACACCAGUGGCGAAGGCGGCUCACUGGCCCGGAACUGACGCUGAGACGCGAAAGCGUGGGGAGCAAACAGGAUUAGAGACCCGUGUAGUCCCUGUCUCUUAUAC
This 301-nucleotide ribosomal RNA is filed under the name uncultured bacterium. Its description in RNAcentral is "partial 16S ribosomal RNA". It matches the Rfam family "Bacterial small subunit ribosomal RNA", at positions 509 to 807 of the family's 1533-position model. The record is from RNAcentral.